This 867-nucleotide ribosomal RNA is filed under the name uncultured Bacteroidota bacterium. Its description in RNAcentral is "bacterial SSU rRNA". It matches the Rfam family "Bacterial small subunit ribosomal RNA", at positions 8 to 870 of the family's 1533-position model. The record is from RNAcentral. Lineage: Bacteria; Pseudomonadati; Bacteroidota.
AGAGUUUGAUCCUGGCUCAGGAUGAACGCUAGCGGCAGGCUUAAUACAUGCAAGUCGUGGGGCAGCAGCUCUGUAGCAAUACAGAGGCUGGCGACCGGCAAACGGGUGCGGAACACGUACGCAAUCUACCCAAAACUGGUGAAUAGCCCUCCGAAAGGAGGAUUAAUACACCGUAACCUAUUGAAGUGGCAUCACUUUAUUAGUAUAGCUCCGGCGGUUUUGGAUGAGCGUGCGGCUGAUUAGAUAGUUGGCGGGGUAACGGCCCACCAAGUCUGCGAUCAGUAACUGGUGUGAGAGCACGACCAGUCACACGGGCACUGAGACACGGGCCCGACUCCUACGGGAGGCAGCAGUAAGGAAUAUUGGUCAAUGGACGCAAGUCUGAACCAGCCAUGCCGCGUGAAGGAUGAAGGUCCUCUGGAUUGUAAAUUUCUUUUAUAGGGGACGAAACCUCUUUUUCUAAAGAGACUGACGGUACCCUAGGAAUAAGCACCGGCUAACUCCGUGCCAGCAGCCGCGGUAAUACGGAGGGUGCAAGCGUUAUCCGGAUUCACUGGGUUUAAAGGGUGCGUAGGAGGGCAGGUAAGUCAGUGGUGAAAUCUCCAAGCUUAACUUGGAAACUGCCGUUGAUACUAUCUGUCUUGAAUACCGUGGAGGUGAGCGGAAUAUGUCAUGUAGCGGUGAAAUGCUUAGAUAUGACAUGGAACACCAAUUGCGAAGGCAGCUCACUACACGAAUAUUGACUCUGAGGCACGAAAGCGUGGGGAUCAAACAGGAUUAGAUACCCUGGUAGUCCACGCCCUAAACUAUGGAUACUCGACAUACGCGAUAAACUGUGUGUGUCUGAGCGAAAGCAUUAAGUAUCCC